GACGAACGCUGGCGGCGUGCUUAACACAUGCAAGUCGAACGCUGAAGACCUGGCUUUUGGCGGGUUGGAUGAGUGGCGAACGGGUGAGUAACACGUGAGUAACCUUCCCUCUUCUUUGGGAUAACGCCCGGAAACGGGUGCUAAUACUGGAUAUUCACUGGCCUUCGCAUGGGGGUGGGUGGAAAGGUUUGUUCUGGAGGGGGAUGGGCUCGCGGCCUAUCAGCUUGUGGGGGGGGUGAUGGCCUACCAAGCCUCUGACGGGUAGCCGGCCUGGGAGGGUGACCGGUGACAUUGGGACUGGGAUACGGCCCAGACUGCUGCGGGAGGCAGCAGUGGGGAAUAUUGCGCAAUGGGCGAAAGCAUGAUGCAGCGACGCCGCGUGAGGGAUGGAGGCCUUCGGGUUGUAAUCCUCUUUCGCUAAUGGUAAAGCCGCAACUGUGGGUUGUGGUGAGGGUAGUGGGUAAAGAAGCGCCGGCUAACUACGUG
This 486-nucleotide ribosomal RNA is filed under the name uncultured bacterium. RNAcentral's name for it is "partial 16S ribosomal RNA". It matches the Rfam family "Bacterial small subunit ribosomal RNA", at positions 28 to 507 of the family's 1533-position model. The record is from RNAcentral.